AUGAAUGAUGCUCUACUUGCCCCUUAUACUGCGGAAGAUGUUCGCAAGGCUUUAUUCGAUAUUGGGGACUUGAAAACUCCAGGGCCAGAUGGACUCCAUGCUAUCUUCUAUAAAAGGUUUUGGCCCAUGAUGGGGGAAGAAUUAAUUGAGGAGGUUCUGAUAGCAAUCAACACAUGCACUAUACCGAAGGGUUGGAAUGAUACGGCGAACGUGAUGAUUCCUAAAAUUAAUACACCAGAGAAGGUAAUCCAAUUUAGGCCGAUCAGCUUAUGUAAUGUGCUAUAUAAAAUAAUUGCAAAAAUGGUGGCUUCUCGAUUGAAGGUUUUUUUACGAGAAAUUAUUAGCCCAACACAGAGUGCAUUUGUACCGGGUAGAUUGAUAAUGGAUAAUAUUUUAGUGGCCUACGAAUGUUUUCACACAAUCAAGAAUAAAAGAGAGGGUAGAGAGGGCUUGUGUGCUAUAAAACUUGAUAUGCACAAAGCCUACAAUAGAGUUGAGUGGACUUUUUUGAAGAAGAUUAUGUUGAAAUUGGGUUUUCGUCGUGAGUGGGUUAAUGUGAUUAUGCAAUGCGUCUCAACCGUAGAAUACAAAGUAAGGAUCAAUGAAGAGGAAAGUGAGAGAUUUAAGCCUACGAGAGGGUUGAGACAGGGGGACCCGCUAUCACCUUACCUUUUUUUGUUGUGCACAGAAGGAUUGAAUGCCUUGCUUGCGCAUGCUGAGGAGAAUGGAAACAUUUCAGGAGUUAAAGUCUGUAGAGACACCCCGCCAGUCAUAAAUCUUCUCUUUGCGGAUGACUCAUUGAUCUUAAUGAAAGCCAACCAACAUAAUGUGGAAAACCUGAAAUCAGCACUAGAUUUAUAUUGUGCGGCGUCGGGACAGCUGGUAAGCAUUGAAAAAUCCAGUAUUUUCUUCAGCCCUAAUACAAAGGUAGAGAUCAGAGAACAAUUGUGUACAACGCUAAAUAUAAUGACGGAGGCUCUCACUGAUAAAUAUUUUGGCUUACUAGCAAAUGUGGGUGUUGAUAAAACAGACUGCUUUAGUUUUCUGAUUGAACGUAUUGUUAAGAGAAUUAGUGGUUGGAAGGAAAAAUUACUAUCUUCCGGGGGGGAGGAGAUCCUAUUAAAGGCGGUGAUCCAAGCCAUACCUACCUAUGCACUGUCGGUCUUUAAAAUUCCUAAAAAAUUGUAAAGGAAUCAUUGACGCGAUGUCACAUUCUGGUGGGAAGACGAGGAGAACCAGAAGAGGAUGCAUUGA
RNAcentral lists this ribosomal RNA (1254 nucleotides) under Triticum aestivum (bread wheat). Its description in RNAcentral is "partial small subunit ribosomal RNA". Lineage: Eukaryota; Viridiplantae; Streptophyta; Magnoliopsida; Poales; Poaceae. The record is from RNAcentral.